Molecule: ribosomal RNA, 253 nt
Filed under: uncultured bacterium
Lineage: Bacteria
Description: partial 16S ribosomal RNA
Rfam family: Bacterial small subunit ribosomal RNA
Source: RNAcentral
UACGUAGGGGGCUAGCGUUGCUCGGAAUCACUGGGCGUAAAGCGCACGUAGGCGGUUUGCUAAGUCAGGGGUGAAAUCCUGGAGCUCAACUCCAGAACUGCCUUUGAUACUGGCGAUCUUGAGUCCGGGAGAGGUGAGUGGAACUGCGAGUGUAGAGGUGAAAUUCGUAGAUAUUCGCAAGAACACCAGUGGCGAAGGCGGCUCACUGGCCCGGUACUGACGCUGAGGUGCGAAAGCGUGGGGAGCAAACAGG